Molecule: transfer RNA, 73 nt
Filed under: Cordylochernes scorpioides
Lineage: Eukaryota; Metazoa; Arthropoda; Arachnida; Pseudoscorpiones; Chernetidae
Description: tRNA-Thr
Source: RNAcentral
GUCCAGGGGUGGGAAACGAACCCACGACCUUCCGCUUACCGGGCAGAUGCCAUGUCCACUAGGCUACCCUGGA